CAGUCGCCGCGGGAACACGAAGGGGGCUAGCGUUGUUCGGAAUUACUGGGCGUAAAGCGCACGUAGGCGGAUCGAUCAGUCAGGGGUGAAAUCCCAGGGCUCAACCCUGGAACUGCCUUUGAUACUGUCGAUCUGGAGUAUGGAAGAGGUGAGUGGAAUUCCGAGUGUAGAGGUGAAAUUCGUAGAUAUUCGGAGGAACACCAGUGGCGAAGGCGGCUCACUGGUCCAUUACUGACGCUGAGGUGCGAAAGCGUGGGGAGCAAACAGGAUUAGAUACCCCUGUAGUCCCUGUCUUUUAUAA
Molecule: ribosomal RNA, 301 nt
Filed under: uncultured bacterium
Lineage: Bacteria
Description: partial 16S ribosomal RNA
Rfam family: Bacterial small subunit ribosomal RNA
Source: RNAcentral